This 473-nucleotide ribosomal RNA is filed under the name uncultured bacterium. Its description in RNAcentral is "bacterial SSU rRNA". It matches the Rfam family "Bacterial small subunit ribosomal RNA", at positions 38 to 507 of the family's 1533-position model. The record is from RNAcentral.
GGCGGCAGGCUUAACACAUGCAAGUCGAGCGGUAGCAGAUCUAGCUUGCUAGAUGCUGACGAGCGGCGGACGGGUGAGUAACGCGUAGGAACCUGCCCAGUAGUGGGGGAUAGCCCGGGGAAACUCGGAUUAAUACCGCAUACGCUCUACGGAGGAAAGAGGGGCUUCGGCUCUCGCUAUUGGAUGGGCCUGCGUGAGAUUAGCUAGUUGGUGAGGUAAUGGCUCACCAAGGCGACGAUCUCUAGCUGGUCUGAGAGGAUGAUCAGCCACACUGGGACUGAGACACGGCCCAGACUCCUACGGGAGGCAGCAGUGGGGAAUAUUGCACAAUGGGCGCAAGCCUGAUGCAGCCAUGCCGCGUGUGUGAAGAAGGCUUUCGGGUUGUAAAGCACUUUCAGUGGGGAGGAAGGCCUCGUAGUUAAUAGCUGCGAGGAUUGACGUUACCCACAGAAGAAGCACCGGCUAACUCCGUG